AGUCUAAUUGCUCUAUUUUGGCCUAGUUUUGAUAUAAAAAUGAGUUUUGAUUUGAUCCACUCUCUCUCUAUAUAUAUACCUUUUGUAUUUGAUGCAUAGUAUUAUUCACGUCUAAGUAAUACUAGUAAUUAACACCGCUUGAACAUUCAUGAAGUUGAUUCUCUAAUUUUCUUUAUAAUAGUGACUGUUAUUCUUUUUUCCCUACAUCAUUUCACAUUUUAUCGUAAGCUGCCUGCAUGUUUGCCAUUUAGGAUUUCAUGUGAGAAUCUGCAGUUACAUGGUGGUGGUGGUGCAAAUACUUUAUCCCCUUAAUUGUAGCUUAGAUCCGCUAGAUUGGUGGAGAGAGUAUUUGAUACUGCUCGCCCAUGGAAGGUGUAUACCCGGCGUGAUCGCAAAGACAAGGAUUGAGGAAAAUCCUGAUUAUCUUUUUAUUAUUGUUAUCUUUGAUUGCUUGAUUAGGAUUUGAUUGGGGGAUUAGUCAAUGAUUGGGAUUUGAUUGGUUGAUCAGUCAAUAAUUAUGAUUUGAUUAAUUGAUUAGUCAAUGAUUGGGAUUUGAUUGGCUGAGAUUUUGAUUUGCUAGACCCUAUAUAAGAGAGGGCAGAGAAUAGAAGGAGGCAUCUCUGGGAAAUCAUUGUAAACGGUGUAGCCGUGGCCUCAAGGAAGAGUAUCAUUGUUUACUGAUUUCUUUAAUUUAUCCUAUUCUCAUUCCACUAACUACUCUUACCCUUCGUUUGCCUUCCAUCAUCAAAUAAAUUGUGUGUGUGAAAGUUUUGCUGCCUUUACUCCAGAACAAUUUGGUGCGGUGAACAAUUGUCGAGACUCGCUCAUCAUCAGACGACACACUUGCUCGUGUCGCUGGUUUGGAGAAGGCAGUAGCAGCCUUGGAUUCCUCUCUUGAUGCACGUAUUGCCCGUUGCCCUGAGACUCAACUGGGUCCCAUUUUGCUCGAACUUAGAGGCACUCAGCCGGAGAAUCCUCCUCUACCUCUCCCUCCACCUCCGCCAAGUGACCAAUCCUCAACCAUCCAUGUCACUUCCUUCGUUCGAUGGAACCGAUGCAAUUGGGUGGCUCACCCGCGCUAGCCAGUACUUUAUGGUGAACAAAACUCCCACUGCCAAACGUUUGGACCUCGCGCUCAUUGCCUUGUCAUGCCCAGCUCUCCCUUGGGUCCAAAUCCUAAUGCGUCGCUAUCCGUCUCUCUCUUGGGAUCAAUUUGGCCACGAGCUACUUGUCCGUUUUGGGGACAAUAAUGCCCGUGAUGGGUAUGAGGCUUUAGCAACAACUAAACAUGUUGGCUCUCUUUCCGACUAUAUUGCCGCUUUCGAGUCACAUCUAGCACAACUGCCCGACCUCACCGAUUGUCAGUUUUUGGGGAUUUUUCUGUUCAGAUGGCGAAACGAUAUGAGAAUUUAUAUGCUCCUAUGGGUCCCACGACAACUCAUCGAGCAAUUUCUCAGUUGGCCGUUCUUCCUAUCACUCAUAUUUGAGUCCGGUUCAGACUGCCUCGAGGGAUUCUUCUAUCCCCAUUACAUCCCCUCUGCCAAGGGGCCUGCGGCCGCCCCAUCGUUUUCGCACCAUGCCACAAGAGGAAUAUCAGAAACAUCUUGCAGCUGGUACAUGUUUUCGAUGUGGACUCAAGUACAGCCCUACCCACCGUUGUCCACCCAAAACUUUGCAGGUCAUCAUCACACACGAAUGACGACGGCCAGAAUGACAACAAUGAAGAGGGUGCUCUUCCCUCUGGCAACGGGUCAUUGCUUCAUUUACAGUUAUCUGAACUAUCCUCUAAUGGUUUAGAUAGUUGCCACGCCAUGAAGUUAUCCGGAAGCAUUAACACAUCCAACGUCACAGUAAUGGUAGAUAGUGGCGCUAGUGAUUGCUUUAUCACCGACCAUGUGGCUGCCCGACUUGGUCUUGUCAUCUCAUCCACUGCUAUUUUUUCUGUUCGUUUGGGUGAUGGGACUAAAGUGCGCAGCGGUGGGAUUUGUCACGAUGUCCAGCUGUUAUUGGCUUUAGAGCCAUUUCUACUAUCUUAUGUCUUUCCUCUACGAGGGGUGGAUAUCAUAUUGGGAAUUUCUUGGUUGGCUUCACUCGGGGGGACGUCAAGGCCAACUGGCGGGAUUUAACUAUGGAGUUUACAUUGUCAGGCCGCUUAGUACACCUACAGGGUGAUCCUACUCUCACUCGUCGGGCUUGCACGCCAUCUGAGAUCCGUUCCAUUGAAGCAACAGAUGACUUUUGGCUUCUUUGGUCCCUUGAUGCAGAUCAGACCACAACAGCUUUUGGGUUUGCUGAAACCCUUCCAGUCGCCUCUAAGCAUCAACUCCAGGUCCUCAUCGAAGCUUUUCCGGCAGUCACUACAGCUGCUGCCUCACUUCCUCCUCACCGGCCCAUUGAUCAUUGCAUACCCUUACAAUCAGACUCUCAACCAGUCUCCGUCCGGCCCUAUCGAUAUAAUAAUGCCUAGAAGGAUGAAAUGGAAAAAUUGGUGUCCGAGAUGCUCACUGCCGGAAUCAUACAACCAAGCACUAGCCCGUUCUCGAGUCCUGUCCUCUUAGUUCGCAAGAAAGGUGGUUCAUGGCGAUUUUGUUGUGAUUAUCGUGAACUCAACAAGCGAACGGUGCCUGACAAAUAUCCAAUUCCAGUUAUCCAGGAGCUUUUGGACGAGUUACAUGGUUCACGAUGGUUUCAAUAAACUUGACCUUCGCGCUGGAUAUCAUCAAAUCAGAGUGGCUUGCUCUGAUGUUGCCAAGACUGCUUUCCGCACUCACUCGGGCCACUACGAAUUUCUAGUAAUGCCAUUUGGUUUAAUGAAUGCCCCUGCCACAUUUCAGAGCCUAAUGAAUGAUAUCUUUCGACCUUUCCUGCGACGAUUUGUUUUGGUUUUCUUUGAUGAUAUUUUGGUCUAUAGUCACUCGUGGGACGCCCAUAUUGAACAUCUCCAAUGUAUUCUCGGGUGAGAGCAGGUUGAAUACCUCGGUCAUAUUGUUUCCUUUCAAGGAGUACAAAUGGAUCCAACAAAGAUUUCAGCAGUUCUUCGUUGGCCAACCCCCUCGACGAUGCGUGGUGUUCGUGGAUUCCUCGGCCUUACGGGGUACUAUCGCCGUUUUAUUCGUGACUACGGAAAAAUCGCUGCUCCCCUCACAGCUUUUUAAAAAAAUCUAACACUAAGAAAAUCCAAUGGACUUCCGCCGCUGAAGAAGCGUUUCAGGCCCUCAAAAAUGCCCUCACCGCUGCCCCAGCCCCAGUGCUCCGUAUGCCUGAUUUCUCUCAGGAUUUUGUGAUAGAGUGUGAUGCUUCAGGCCGUGGCUUUGGCACUGUCCUUAUGCAUGACCAAUAGCCCGUUGCUUAUUUCAGUAAAGCCAUAUCUGCUUGUUGGCUAGCCUAAUCGGCCUAUGAAAGAGAACUAAUGGACCUCGUCCUUGCUAUUCAACAUUGGCGACCUUACCUCCUUGGUCAUCGGUUCGUGGUUCGCACUGAUCAGCGGAGUCUUCGCCACUCACUUACUCAGCCAUUGACCACUCCGGCCCAAAAGAAUUGGGCAGCUAAACUUCUAGGUUUUGACUUCAGUGUGGUCUACAAAGGAGCGUUAAACCAGGCAGCAGAUGCCUUGUCACGCCAAGAGGAAGACAUAAUAUGUGCCGCUAUCUCGACACCAAUCUGGCUCGACUGGUCAGCUGUGCAGAGUUCAAUCGACCAGGACGCCCAUCUCUCGGCAGUCCGUUCUGCGCUUAGGGAAGGCAAGCCUUCAUCCAAACAGUACACCUUAACUCACGACCUAUUGUUCUAUAAGGGGCGUCUGGUUGUUCCACCACAUUCUGAGUGGAUUCCCAAAUUAAUAGCAGAAUUUCACAUCACCACAAGUGGUGGCCAUGCAGGGGCUUAUCGUUCAUAUCGCUGACUUGCUGCUAACGUCUACUGGCCAGCAAUGGUCAAGCACUUUUCUCAAUUUGUUGCAGCUUGUGCAAUGUGCCAGAAGCAUAAAUAUGACACCCAUGCUCCAGCUGGUCUACUUACACCUUUGCCAAUUCCCUUGCGUGUAUGGGAGGAUAUUAGUAUGGACUUCAUCACGGGAUUGCUGAGGGCUGGGGGCGUAGACUGUGUGCUGGUGGUUGUUGAUCGAUUUUUGAAGUAUGCACAUUUUCUGCCACUUCGCCAUCCCUUCACAGCUCGUCAAGUGGCUGAAAUCUUCACUCCAGAAAUUGUGCGAUUACACGGCCUGCUUGGCUCUAUUGUUUCAGAUCGGGACCCCAUCUUCCUCAGCACUUUCUAGCAAGAAUUAUUCGAUCAGCAGGUACUUCUUUACGUAUGAGCUCCGCCUAGCAUCCAGAAACCGACGGUCAAACUGAAGUGCUCAACCAUUUUUUGGAAACGUAUCUGCGUUGUUUUUCAUCCGAGCAACCAAAAUAAUGGAGUAAAUGGCUCGCAUGGGCUAAGUACUGUUACAACUCAACCUAUCAGACGGCAGCUCAUACCACCCCAGUUGACAUAGUGUAUGGACGUCCACCUCCCACCAUUACGAGCUUCCUGCCACGGGAAGUCAGAGUCCAGGCAGUUGCCGAGGAUUUACGUGCCCGCGAUGAUAUAUUGGUCCACCUGCGCUACCAUCUUGAGAGGGCCCAACAAAAGAUGGUUCGAGCUGCCAAUCGUCACCACCGUCAUGAAGAAUUCGCUGUGGAUGACUUGGUAUAUCUCAAGUUCUGACCCUACCGCCAGUCCACAUUGUUUCAUUCCAAGAAUCGUUAGCGCCACGCUAUUUUGGGCCUUUUAAGGUUGUUGCACGGGUGAGGGUAGUCGCCUAUCGUCUCUAGUUGCCCCCCGAGUCUCGCAUCCACCCGGUCUUUCACGUUUCUCUUCUGAAGCGGGCUAUUGGUGCUACGACUGCCGAACCUUCUCUGCCUGAGGACCUUCUGCGUGUGGAUCCACCUUACUUACCUGAGCAGGUCUUGGACCGACGCUCCAUUGAGCGCGAUAAUGCAUCUGUUGAUCAGGUGCUUGUGCUCUGGGCCGGUAUGCCGAAGGAAGAUGCGACGAGGGUUGAUGUCGUAGAUAUGCAAGGUCAGUUUCCCUUCUUCAGCCUUACGGACAAGGCUGUUUCCACGGAGGAGGCUAUUGAUAUCGCUCGCCCAUGGAAGUUGUAUACCCAGCUUGAUCGCAAAGACAAGGAUUGAGGAAAAUCCUGAUUAUCUUAUUAUUAUUGUUAUCUUUGAUUGCUUGAUUAGGAUUUGAUUGGGGGAUUAGUCAAUGAUUGGGAUUUGAUUGAUUAAUCAGUCAAUAAUUAUGAUUUGAUUUAUUGAUUAGUCAAUGAUUGGGAUUUGAUUGGCUGAGAUUUUGAUUUGCUAGACCCUAUAUAAGAGAGAGCAGAGAAUAGAAGGAGGUAUCUCUGGGAAAUCAUUGUAAACGGUGUAGCCGUGGCCUCAAGGAGGAGUAUCAUUGUUUACUGAUUUCUUUAAUUUAUCCUAUUCCCAUUCCACUAACUACUCUUACCCUUCGUUUGCCUUCCAUCAUCAAAUAAUUUGUGUGUGAAAGUUUUGCUGCCUUUACUCCGUAACAGUAUUUAAUAGUAUUCUCUCUGUCCACGAAGAGUGUGGUGUGGAGGGGAGGGCAUGAGUUUUAAGAAAAAUAUUUGGGGAUGAGUCCCACAAGGAGUAUUGUGUGUAGAAUAAGUAUUGGUUAUUGGUUUUUUGGCCCACAAAAAGUAAAAGUUAGUGGUGUUUUUUUUUUGGUAAAUAUUGUGUCAUUGUGUGUGAAAGGAUGUAAAAAAUAUAAGGGGCUGUGUUCUAAAAUAGAAACACCAUAUUCUUGGUGGUCAGACUAAAAUGGUAAUAAGACCACACUUUUUGUGGAUGUUGGGAGUACUGUUCACAUUAAUUAAUCUCUGGCGAAGGGCUUAUAUACUUGUCAUGCUUUCUGUUGACAGAUUUUCAGGACACAUGGGCUUUCUUGGAUGAACGAGUUAGAGAUGCAUUUGAUCUGAAAAAGACACUUCAAGAGAUUUGGAGCAACACUGCACUCCACGCCGGCGAUCUUCAAAACAGUUGAUUCCUCCGUUGAACGGCGAGUGCACAGAGUACAUCUGCGUGGAGCCGAGUACCACCCAACACCCGAAGUUCACAUACAUAAAAUUGGAGUGGUACUUCGUUGUAUAGAACUUUUUUUCCUAAAUUCUCCCCGAGUGAUGGCCCGAUUGUUUCGUUUACACCUGAGCGUUCCCGAUAUGGUGGAAGACAUACUUAACUUGUUGCGUAUUUAAUCGAUUCUCAUCCUGUACAUAUACUUGAAAAGAAGAGCACGCUUACGUCGUCGUGUUACGCACCAUGGGGUUAGGUAUUCUCUAAUAGGCCGGGCACCUCGUCAACUAAUGCAUAUGAACAGGCUCGUAUCAAUUAGUGAUGUUGACUGCUUUUCCAACCUACGCAUGGAUAGGAAUGCAUUUGGUCGUUUGUGCAUACUGCUUAAAGAACAAGGUGGUCUACGGGAUGGUCAAUUUGUGUUAAUAGAGGAGCAAGUAGCUAUUUUUUAAGCAUUCUAGCCCACCAUAAGAAAAACCGUAUAACUAGUUUUGAUUUUAAACGCUCUGGUGAAACCAUAUCGCACUAUGUGCAUGCCGUGCUUAAAGCUGUACUCAGACUCCAUACUAUUCUCCUGCCUAAGCCUGAACCAGUAACCAAUAGUUUUGUAGACCCGUGUUGGAAACACUUUAAGGGUUGUAUUGGCGCCUUGGACGGGACCUAUAUAAAUGUAUUAGUCAGGAGCAUGGAUAAGCCACGAUAUCGGACAAGGAAGGGCCAAAUCGCGACCAAUACACUUGCUGCCUGUGAUCGCAACAUGAAAUUCUUAUAUUUUCUACCAGGGUGGGAGGGGUCUGCCGGGGACUCUCGAGUGCUUAGGGACGCUGUUACUAGAGGGGGGGGGGCUGCGUGUAACCAAAGGUUUAAUUGAUAUGAUCCUUGAUUAAAAUUUCAUAUUGUCCACUUUCAUUCUAAAUUUUUUGUAAAACUUAUGAGCAAUCCCUCCGUUGCAACAUUUGUGGUUUUAGGAACUUACUUUUUGUGUGAUAAUGGCUACGCAAAUUCCGAAGGAUUCUUGACUCCAUACAAAAACGUGAGGUAUCACUUGAAGGAGUGAGGUGUUGGCAGUGAGAGACCUCAAAAUGCAAGAGAAUUGUUCAACCUCCGGAACACCAGAGCUCGUAACAUUAUCGAGCUGGCUUUUGCCGUGCUGAAGAUGAGAUGGGGGAUAUUAAGGAGUGCUAGUUUCUACCCGAUUAAAAUCCAAAUCCGUAUAAUCAUGGCUUGUCCUACUACACAAUUUCAUACGUGGUGAAAUGCUCAACGAUCCAAUUGAACAGCAUGUUGAUGCUGCUAUUCAAGAUCUGGAUGCCGAGGAUGGUGUUCCCAUCCCUGAUUUUGUGGAUCAAGUAGAGCCAUCUACAGAGUGGAAUCAAAUGCGGGAUGAGUUGGCUAAUACCAUGUGGAACAAUGUGCACAAUGUCGACGGUAACUGAAGAAAUGGAUAUGAUACCAUACUGUCAAUGCGGAGGAGGGAAGAUGAUUUUGUUAUGCGCCGGGAAAGAAGCUGUACAUGUUGGACGCUGGUACUACAAAUGUCCGUCCAAUACAAAGCAUUCAUGGUCUUUUUUAUGGUGCGAUGACUACCAUAGUCGGCACGGAAAUGGGGAACAGCCUACUUACGUGCUGACUCAGCUUUAUCGUCCUACGAAACAAGUGUCUUGUGCAGAUAAUACAAAAAACAAAAAACUGCCUUACACCGGUAGUGUUUGUGGAAUUUGUGGUCGCUGUCGUGCUGAUUUUCGAAUGAAUUACUUGUUGGUCGUGAUGGGAUUUGUUUUAUUGUUGCUCGGAAUUGUGAUAGGGAAGCUGUUCUAGUUUGUUAGAUUUCGAAUUUGCUGAAUGAGACUCCAUGUUUUAUUUGUCGCUUUAUACUACUAUUUUGACUAUGCAUAUGUAAUGACAUUUGGCUAUCUUUCGAGUUGAUCUUCAUGUUUUUGUUUGCAAA
Molecule: RNA transcript, 8019 nt
Organism: Salvia splendens (bonfire salvia)
Lineage: Eukaryota; Viridiplantae; Streptophyta; Magnoliopsida; Lamiales; Lamiaceae
Gene name: ubiquinone biosynthesis protein COQ9, mitochondrial
Exons: 6
Source: RefSeq, a predicted model, not a curated record